RNAcentral lists this ribosomal RNA (286 nucleotides) under Pseudomonas sp. October_TSA2D1. Its description in RNAcentral is "partial 16S ribosomal RNA". It matches the Rfam family "Bacterial small subunit ribosomal RNA", at positions 1086 to 1372 of the family's 1533-position model. The record is from RNAcentral. Lineage: Bacteria; Pseudomonadati; Pseudomonadota; Gammaproteobacteria; Pseudomonadales; Pseudomonadaceae.
CCCGUAACGAGCGCAACCCUUGUCCUUAGUUACCAGCACCUCGGGUGGGCACUCUAAGGAGACUGCCGGUGACAAACCGGAGGAAGGUGGGGAUGACGUCAAGUCAUCAUGGCCCUUACGGCCAGGGCUACACACGUGCUACAAUGGUCGGUACAAAGGGUUGCCAAACCGCGAGGUGGAGCUAAUCCCAUAAAACCGAUCGUAGUCCGGAUCGCAGUCUGCAACUCGACUGCGUGAAGUCGGAAUCGCUAGUAAUCGUGAAUCAGAAUGUCACGGUGAAUACGUU